RNAcentral lists this ribosomal RNA (406 nucleotides) under uncultured bacterium. Its description in RNAcentral is "partial 16S ribosomal RNA". It matches the Rfam family "Bacterial small subunit ribosomal RNA", at positions 28 to 526 of the family's 1533-position model. The record is from RNAcentral.
GACGAACGCUGGCGGCGUGCUUAACACAUGCAAGUCGAACGAGUGGCGAACGGGUGAGUAAUACGUGGGUAACCUGCCCUCUUUUUGGGAUCAGCCUUUGAAACGGGGUCUAAUACCGAAUAAAGGGGGAUGGGCUUGCGGCCUAUCAGCUUGUUGGUGGGGUGAUAGCCUACCAAGGCGGUGACGGGUAGCCGGUCUGAGAGGUUGACCGGCCACAUUGAGACUGAGAUACGGCCCAGACUACUACGGGAGGGAACAGUGGGGGAUAUUGCACAAUGGGCGAAAGCGUAAUGCAGCGGCGCCGCGUGGGGGAUGAAGGCUUUCAAGUUGUAAACCUCUUUCGCUAUCGAACAGGUAGGUAGAGAGGAAGCGCCGGCUAACUACGUGCCAGCAGCCGCGGUAAUAC